GUGGGGGGUGGGAGGUGGUGG
This 21-nucleotide unclassified non-coding RNA is filed under the name Chlamydomonas reinhardtii. Its description in RNAcentral is "small RNA Cre_2065". Lineage: Eukaryota; Viridiplantae; Chlorophyta; Chlorophyceae; Chlamydomonadales; Chlamydomonadaceae. The record is from RNAcentral.